Long non-coding RNA from Mesocricetus auratus (golden hamster), 268 nucleotides. RefSeq lists it as uncharacterized. The transcript has 3 exons. Lineage: Eukaryota; Metazoa; Chordata; Mammalia; Rodentia; Cricetidae. The record is from RefSeq and is a predicted model, not a curated record.
GAGUUCGAGAUGUAACGCCAUGGGGUAGGAGCCCGAAACUAUUCUCCGGUCUACAGGUCAAAACAAGUAGAGGGUGCAUGUAAGGACCUCCAUAUCAUCACAAGCUUUCCAGAAACACAGCUGCGGGCUCUAGAUGUAAUGCAGUUUCCCCAUCCACAGGAGAAUGUUUCGACUCGGACCUCACCUCGGCCGCCAAAGCACUGAUCUCGCCAUUCAGGGUGCUGAGCGGAGCGCGAACCGGCAGCCCCCGGCCUCCAGCUGUCCCGAC